This 253-nucleotide ribosomal RNA is filed under the name uncultured bacterium. RNAcentral describes it as "partial 16S ribosomal RNA". It matches the Rfam family "Bacterial small subunit ribosomal RNA", at positions 524 to 776 of the family's 1533-position model. The record is from RNAcentral.
UACGGAGGGAGCUAGCGUUGUUCGGAAUUACUGGGCGUAAAGCGCACGUAGGCGGCUUUGUAAGUUAGAGGUGAAAGCCCGGAGCUCAACUCCGGAAUUGCCUUUAAGACUGCAUCGCUUGAAUCCAGGAGAGGUGAGUGGAAUUCCGAGUGUAGAGGUGAAAUUCGUAGAUAUUCGCAAGAACACCAGUGGCGAAGGCGGCUCACUGGUCCGGUUCUGACGCUGAGGCGCGAAAGCGUGGGGAGCAAACAGG